RNAcentral lists this transfer RNA (72 nucleotides) under Ailuroedus buccoides (White-eared catbird). RNAcentral's name for it is "tRNA-Glu". Lineage: Eukaryota; Metazoa; Chordata; Aves; Passeriformes; Ptilonorhynchidae. The record is from RNAcentral.
GUUCCUGUAGUUAAAUGACAAUAACAACGGCUUUUCAGGCCGUGGAUCUUGGGUAGGUACCAAGCAGGAAUU